AGGUCAGUAGUUCAAUUGGUAGAGCACUGGUCUCCAAAACCAGAUGUUGCAGGUUCGAGUCCUGCCUGGCCUG
This 73-nucleotide transfer RNA is filed under the name Candidatus Haliotispira prima. RNAcentral's name for it is "Spirochaetaceae bacterium SP-2023 tRNA-Trp". It matches the Rfam family "tRNA". From Rfam's summary of the family: Transfer RNA (tRNA) molecules are approximately 80 nucleotides in length. Their secondary structure includes four short double-helical elements and three loops (D, anti-codon, and T loops). Lineage: Bacteria; Pseudomonadati; Spirochaetota; Spirochaetia; Spirochaetales; Spirochaetaceae. The record is from RNAcentral.